Molecule: transfer RNA, 77 nt
Filed under: Actinomycetota bacterium
Lineage: Bacteria; Bacillati; Actinomycetota
Description: tRNA-Val
Rfam family: tRNA
About the family: Transfer RNA (tRNA) molecules are approximately 80 nucleotides in length.
Source: RNAcentral
GGGCGUAUAGCUCAGUUGGUUAGAGCGCACGCUUCACACGCGUGAGGUCAGAGGUUCGAGUCCUCUUACGCCCACCA